Molecule: ribosomal RNA, 437 nt
Filed under: uncultured bacterium
Lineage: Bacteria
Description: bacterial SSU rRNA
Rfam family: Bacterial small subunit ribosomal RNA
Source: RNAcentral
AUGGGAACGCGAAGAACCUUACCUAGACUUGACAUCUCCUGAAUAGUGUAGAGAUACAUGAAGCCCUUCGGGGCAGGAAGACAGGUGGUGCAUGGUUGUCGUCAGCUAGUGUCGUGAGAUGUUGGGUUAAGUCCCGCAACGAGCGCAACCCUUAUUACUAGUUGCUACCAUUAAGUUGAGCACUCUAGUGAGACUGCCCGGGGUUAACCGGGAGGAAGGCGGGGAUGACGUCAAAUCAUCAUGCCCCUUAUGUCUAGGGCUACACACGUGCUACAAUGGUGGGAACAAAGAGAUGCAAUACCGCAAGGUGGAGCUAAACUCAAAACCCCAUCCCAGUUCGGAUUGUAGGCUGAAACUCGCCUACAUGAAGCUGGAGUUGCUAGUAAUCGCGAAUCAGAAUGUCGCGGUGAAUACGUUCCCGGGUCUUGUACACACCG